Molecule: ribosomal RNA, 246 nt
Filed under: uncultured bacterium
Lineage: Bacteria
Description: partial 16S ribosomal RNA
Rfam family: Bacterial small subunit ribosomal RNA
Source: RNAcentral
UGGGGAUCAGCGGCGAACGGGUGAGUAACACGUGGGCAACCUGCCCUCAGCUCUGGGAUAACUCCGGGAAACCGGGGCUAAUACCGGAUACGACUUCCUGCGGCAUCUCGGGAAGUGGAAAGUUUUUCGGCUGAGGAUGGGCCCGCGGCCUAUCAGCUUGUUGGUGGGGUAAAGGCCCACCAAGGCGACGACGGGUAGCCGGCCUGAGAGGGCGACCGGCCACACUGGGACUGAGACACGGCCCAG